This 107-nucleotide small nuclear RNA is filed under the name Dasypus novemcinctus (nine-banded armadillo). The record is from RNAcentral. Lineage: Eukaryota; Metazoa; Chordata; Mammalia; Cingulata; Dasypodidae.
GUGCUCACUUCGACCACACGUAUACUAAAAUUGGAACAAUACAGAGAAGACAAGCAUGGCUCCUGAGCAAGGAUGAUACGCAAAUUCGUGAAGUGUCCCAUAUUUUU